UGCGCCUUGCCAGCCCGCUCAGAAACUCAAAGGAAUUGACGGGGGCCCGCACAAGCGGUGGAGUAUGUGGUUUAAUUCGAUGAUACGCGAGGAACCUUACCUGGGCUCAAAUGUAUGUUGACGUAUUCUGAAAGGGAUACUUCUUCGGACAAUAUACAAGGUGCUGCAUGGUUGUCGUCAGCUCGUGCCGUGAGGUGUCGGGUUAAGUCCCAUAACCGAGCGCAACCCCUAUCAUUAGUUGCCAUCAGGUCAAGCUGGGGACUCUAAUGAAACUGCCUACGCAAGUAGUGAGGAAGGUGGGGAUGACGUCAAAUCAGCACGGCCCUUACGUCCAGGGCUACACACGUGCUACAAUGGUCGGUACAAAGGGUUGCCAAGCCGCGAGGUGGAGCUAAUCCCAUAAAACCGAUCGUAGUCCGGAUCGCAGUCUGCAACUCGACUGCGUGAAGUCGGAAUCGCUAGUAAUCGUGAAUCAGAAUGUCACGGUGAAUACGUUCCCGGGCCUU
Molecule: ribosomal RNA, 506 nt
Filed under: uncultured Pseudomonas sp.
Lineage: Bacteria; Pseudomonadati; Pseudomonadota; Gammaproteobacteria; Pseudomonadales; Pseudomonadaceae
Description: bacterial SSU rRNA
Rfam family: Bacterial small subunit ribosomal RNA
Source: RNAcentral